AUCGUCCUUGUCUUAGGGGAGCAGAGUAUUCAAUGAUCGUUUCGUGAGGGUACUGUUGCUGAAACCCAUUAUAAAACAAUUUAUCGCAUCCGUACAUUAAUUUGUUACGCGGUGCAAUUUUUGGGAGC
Cephus cinctus (wheat stem sawfly) is the source of this 128-nucleotide small nuclear RNA. RefSeq annotates it as U4atac minor spliceosomal RNA. The record is from RefSeq and is a predicted model, not a curated record. The transcript has a single exon. NCBI's taxonomy places the organism in Eukaryota, Metazoa, Arthropoda, Insecta, Hymenoptera, Cephidae.